UUGCCUGUCCCACCUGCAAGAUGUAUGCUGCUGAGGUAAGCUCAAGCAUUUACUCAGCUUUCAAAGAAUCCCUGCUGGAGCUGAGAGUCAUGAGUAUCAAUAGUAUUUCACUGAAGCUGUUAUUUACACAACUGGUGUGAGUAUCAUGGCAAGCUUAUGCAGAGGCGUGGAUGAGGGUUGUUUAAAGUGGAUUUCAGAAAGAAUACAGGAAUUCAUAAUUCAGCUUUAUGAACUGCAAACCAGGCAGCUACAACUUGAACAAUGGGCUAUUCGGUAACUUGUCACAUAACCUGCCCACCAUACAAAGGUAUUACCCAUCCUCAAAGAGGCUGCUCUACCUGUGUUUUAAGGGUUAUACCUGAAUGUAGUUAUUUCUCUUGAGUUUUGCUCUCCUAUAUGGGUAGCAGCUGGAGAGCAUCCUUUCUGAUCAUAUUUUGGUCUUAUUUUUAAUUCAUUUCCCCCACCUUAGAGUAUUCAUCAGCUGCUGUAGCCUCUUGUUUCAGACAGCUGCUAGAUCCUGGCUGAUGGACUUUAUUGAUUUCUCCCUCUGAUCUUGCAAAUCUUAUUUCAAAUUCAUCACCUGCCAGGGCCGUUCUGGGAGCUUGAGCUUCACUGCAGCUUGUUACGGAUGGGGGGAGCUCUCCUAUGGGCUUUCUAGUGCCACCAGCUGCAAAGCCCCUGCUCUGGAGCAGCCCACCCUGAUGCUCUGCGAGGUCUCGGAUCAAACCUUGACCCCUUCCCCUCCCACAGCCCCCAUGCAUGGCUGUGCCCAACACUGUGGAGUGCCAGCACUGGCCGCGCCGCGCUGCACUGCAAUGUGGAAGAGGGGAGACAGGAGCUGUGCGCAGCCAACAUCGGGGUUGGUGGCCCCAGCUCAGUGGGUGGCAAGCCCCUGUCCCAGCCCACCUCCAGCCUUUCUUUCUUCACACACGAAUUACGGUCCCGUCCCCUCCACUGCAACGGAAAUCCUGAAAACCUGAACCAGAUGCACGGUUUCACCUGAGUUUACAGACAGCCUGGAAGCAAUAACUCUGGGAGCCAUGCAACAAGUGUGCUGCAGAUGUCAGAGGCCUGUGUUUAAGAAAUCCCCUGGUCUGGAUGCACAGUUUCCAGUGUGUCCUGCUGGCAUGCAUCUGCAGGUGGGUUGUAACAAAUGUACUGUCAGCUAUGUAAAAUACACAGCUUGUGAGAAGACGAAAUACUGUAAAUCUGGCAAUGAUGCUUUCCCUUGUGUUUCUGUAAUGAAGCUGCUAUUCCGUAGUGUUUCUGAGUGAGGAGCCACCCAUGGCCUGAGAGCUGUCACACUCCAUCCCAGCAAAGAGCCACCUCUUUUCCCAGUUCCUUUCUCACGCUGGUGCUCAGGCUUCCAGUGAAGCACAAGGUAACUCAGUGCAUCUAAAAAUGGAGCAGCUCAUCUUAACUAUAGCUGACAUUUGGGUUCGAAGGAUGUAUCCCACUUUCAUGGUCCAUUAUACCCUAUUUGGGUGAAAAGACCUGAGCUGCCAAAGCAGCAAGGAGUAACAAAAGUGAAAAAGGCAUAUUGGAAUGAUUCAGCUGAGGGAAAUUGUCAAGAACUAUUGAUUUGUUUCUUUGUUUUUAUGUUUCAGGUGAUUUCUAAAGCUACAGUUUGAUAAUGUUCUUAAAAUAUGUCAGACUUCACACGUUAAGUGGUAGAAAAACGCCGUGCCUCCUACACUCACAGCCGCGGGAGAAGCAUGUUGUGAUGACUAAAUAAAGCCCUUCCUGCA
This is a long non-coding RNA of Neopsephotus bourkii (Bourke's parrot), 1748 nucleotides long. RefSeq lists it as uncharacterized. The transcript has 2 exons. Lineage: Eukaryota; Metazoa; Chordata; Aves; Psittaciformes; Psittacidae. The record is from RefSeq and is a predicted model, not a curated record.